ACGGGAGGCAGCAGUGAGGAAUAUUGGUCAAUGGACGAGAGUCUGAACCAGCCAAGUAGCGUGCAGGAUGACGGCCCUAUGGGUUGUAAACUGCUUUUGUACGGGAAUAAAGUGACCUACGUGUAGGUUUUUGCAUGUACCGUAAGAAUAAGGACCGGCUAAUUCCGUGCCAGCAGCCGCGGUAAUACGGAAGGUCCAGGCGUUAUCCGGAUUUAUUGGGUUUAAAGGGAGCGUAGGCGGAUUAUCAAGUCAGUGGUAAAAUCGUGUGGCCCAACCAUACCUCGCCAUUGAAACUGUUAGUCUUGAGUGCACGCAGGGAUGCUGGAAUUCGUUGUGUAGCGGUGAAAUGCUUAGAUAUGACGAAGAACUCCGAUCGCGAAGGCAGGUGUCUGGAGUGCAACUGACGCUGAGGCUCGAAAGUGCGGGUAUCAAACAGGAUUAGAUACCCUGGUA
This 453-nucleotide ribosomal RNA is filed under the name uncultured Alloprevotella sp. Its description in RNAcentral is "partial 16S ribosomal RNA". It matches the Rfam family "Bacterial small subunit ribosomal RNA", at positions 341 to 792 of the family's 1533-position model. Lineage: Bacteria; Pseudomonadati; Bacteroidota; Bacteroidia; Bacteroidales; Prevotellaceae. The record is from RNAcentral.